AAGGGACAGCAGUCGCCGCGGGAAAACGAGGGGGGCAAGCGUUGUUCGGAAUUAUUGGGCGUAAAGGGUGCGUAGGCGGUUUGAUAAGUCAUCUGUGAAAUCUCUGGGCUCAACCCAGAGUCUGCAGGCGAAACUGUCGAGCUUGAGUAUUGGAGAGGUGAGUGGAAUUUCCGGUGUAGCGGUGAAAUGCGUAGAUAUCGGAAGGAACACCUGUGGCGAAAGCGGCUCACUGGACAAUUACUGACGCUGAUGCACGAAAGCUAGGGGAGCAAACAGGAUUAGAGACCCCUGUAGUCCCUGUCUCUUAUAC
RNAcentral lists this ribosomal RNA (310 nucleotides) under uncultured bacterium. Its description in RNAcentral is "partial 16S ribosomal RNA". It matches the Rfam family "Bacterial small subunit ribosomal RNA", at positions 503 to 807 of the family's 1533-position model. The record is from RNAcentral.